RNAcentral lists this long non-coding RNA (247 nucleotides) under Lathyrus oleraceus (garden pea). RNAcentral's name for it is "Pisum sativum (pea) long non-coding RNA (PSAT_LNC010114)". Lineage: Eukaryota; Viridiplantae; Streptophyta; Magnoliopsida; Fabales; Fabaceae. The record is from RNAcentral.
UCUUUUCCAUGUAGGUUUCGCUUAUUCUACUCUAAUAAGUCAUCUCUUAUAUUCUUUCUUUUUCAUCUUUUAUGUUACUAUUUUCUCUUUUAAUUACAUUUUUAUCGCAUCUUUCUUCUCAAUCUCGCAUCUCUUAGGUUCUUUUUUUCAUCUUCUCUAAUCUCUCAUCUCAUAUGUUUUUUAUGUUUUAUUAUAAUGUCUUCGAUAUUAUUUUAUGCUACUAUUUAUAUAUGUAUUUUAUUCCACU